Non-coding RNA from Pongo abelii (Sumatran orangutan), 300 nucleotides. NCBI's taxonomy places the organism in Eukaryota, Metazoa, Chordata, Mammalia, Primates, Hominidae. The record is from Rfam.
GCCAGGUGUUACGGUGUGUGCCUGUAGUCCCAACUACUCGGGAGGCUGAAGAGGGAGGAUUUCUUGAGCCCAGGAGUUCUGAGCUGCAGUGUGCUAUGCUGAUCCUGUGCUAUGCACCAAGUUAGGCAUCAAUAUGGUGACCUACCGGGAGGCGGGACUAUCAGGUUGCCUCAGGAGGGGUGAAAUGGCUCAGGUCAGAAGGAGAGUAGGUCAAAACUUUCAUACUGAUCAGUAGUGGGAUUGCACUUGUGAAUAGCCACUGUACUUUAGUCUGGGAAACAUAGCAAGACCCCAUCCCUA